This 301-nucleotide ribosomal RNA is filed under the name uncultured bacterium. Its description in RNAcentral is "partial 16S ribosomal RNA". It matches the Rfam family "Bacterial small subunit ribosomal RNA", at positions 509 to 807 of the family's 1533-position model. The record is from RNAcentral.
CAGUAGCCGCGGUAAUACGAAGGGGGCUAGCGUUGUUCGGAUUUACUGGGCGUAAAGCGCACGUAGGCGGAUCGAUCAGUCAGGGGUGAAAUCCCAGAGCUCAACUCUGGAACUGCCUUUGAUACUGUCGAUCUGGAGUAUGGAAGAGGUGAGUGGAAUUCCGAGUGUAGAGGUGAGAUUCGUAGAUAUUCGGAGGAACACCAGUGGCGAAGGCGGCUCACUGGUCCAUUACUGACGCUGAGGUGCGAAAGCGUGGGGAGCAAACAGGAUUAGAUACCCGUGUAGUCCCUGUCUCUUAUAC